Molecule: ribosomal RNA, 1343 nt
Filed under: Coconut lethal yellowing phytoplasma
Lineage: Bacteria; Bacillati; Mycoplasmatota; Mollicutes; Acholeplasmatales; Acholeplasmataceae
Description: bacterial SSU rRNA
Rfam family: Bacterial small subunit ribosomal RNA
Source: RNAcentral
AGUAACACGUAAGCAACCUGCCUUUAAGACGAGAAUAACAAUUGGAAACAGUUGCUAAGGCUGGAUAGGAAAUAAAAAGGAAUCUUUUUAUUUUUAAAAGACCUUUUUCGGAAGGUAUGCUUAAAGAGGGGCUUGCGUCACAUUAGUUAGUUGGUAGGGUAAAGGCCUACCAAGACGAUGAUGUGUAGCUGGACUGAGAGGUUGAACAGCCACAUUGGGACUGAGACACGGCCCAAACUCCUACGGGAGGCAGCAGUAGGGAAUUUUCGGCAAUGGAGGAAACUCUGACCGAGCAACGCCGCGUGAACGACGAAGUACUUCGGUAUGUAAAGUUCUUUUAUUGAAGAAGAAACAAUAGUGGAAAAACUAUCUUGACGUUAUUCAAUGAAUAAGCCCCGGCUAACUAUGUGCCAGCAGCCGCGGUAAUACAUAGGGGGCGAGCGUUAUCCGGAAUUAUUGGGCGUAAAGGGUGCGUAGGCGGUUUAAUAAGUCUCUAGUUUAAUUUCAACGCUUAACGUUGUCCUGCUAGAGAAACUGUUUAACUAGAGUGAGAUAGAGGUAAGCGGAAUUCCAUGUGUAGCGGUAAAAUGUGUAAAUAUAUGGAGGAACACCAGAGGCGUAGGCGGCUUACUGGGUCUUUACUGACGCUGAUGCACGAAAGCGUGGGGAGCAAACAGGAUUAGAUACCCUGGUAGUCCACGCCGUAAACUAUGAGUACUAAGUGUCGGGGUUAAACUCGGUACUGAAGUUAACACAUUAAGUACUCCGCCUGAGUAGUACGUACGCAAGUAUGAAACUUAAAGGAAUUGACGGGAUCCCGCACAAGCGGUGGAUCAUGUUGUUUAAUUCGAAGAUACACGAAAAACCUUACCAGGUCUUGACAUACUCUGCAAAGCUAUAGAAAUAUAGUGGAGGUUAUCAGGGAUACAGGUGGUGCAUGGUUGUCGUCAGCUCGUGUCGUGAGAUGUUAGGUUAAGUUCUAAAACGAGCGCAACCCCUGUCGUUAAUUGCCAGCACGUUAUGGUGGGGACUUUAGCGAGACUGCCAAUGAAAAAUUGGAGGAAGGUGGGGAUUACGUCAAAUCAUCAUGCCCCUUAUGAUCUGGGCUACAAACGUGAUACAAUGGCUAUUACAAAGAGUAGCUGAAACGCGAGUUUUCGGCAAAUCUCAAAAAAAUAGUCUCAGUUCGGAUUGAAGUCUGCAACUCGACUUCAUGAAGUUGGAAUCGCUAGUAAUCGCGAAUCAGCAUGUCGCGGUGAAUACGUUCUCGGGGUUUGUACACACCGCCCGUCAAACCACGAAAGUGGACAAUACCCGAAAGCGACAGCCUAACUGCGUAAGCA